CACGCGCAUCUACGCUUGAGUUGUUGAUUUCGCAGCAUUAGCAGGGCUGUGUAAGUGAUGUUGUCGAUUUUGCGGCUGUACGUAAUCAUGCCGUCGUUCCCGCUGCGUUUUUGCCCCCCGUGCUACUGCAUGUGUUCGUGUUUGAGUUUUCACCAAUCCCCUGUGUGUUUGCCCAUUGAUUCGCUGAUGCUUGGGUUUAGUCAUGGGUUUAGAUGUUGAGGCCCGCCGCUGUAUGUAUCUGCUUUAAUAGUCAUAUAUGUUGGUAAGAAAUUUUUAGUUCCCAUGGUUUGUAGUUGCAUUCAAGGGGUGGUUAAGCAAUUCUACCUGAAUGUUUUGCUUGCAACUUACUGCGUCCAGCGUAGGAUUAGGACUUGCUUUCUCUGGUUAUUCUGUUAAGCUUUUUUUUUUGUAUAUUAGGACUAGUGUGUUUAGUUCAUGGCAGGAGGGGUUGACUGAUGAAUGAUUUCAGUGAUUCUAAAAGUUGCUUUUCUGCUCGGGACUAGUGUUCCCCAAUUUUUGAUAGGUUCAAUGAUUACAGAGCUCCUAACAAGUUGCUUUUCCUGGGUGUCAGGCUGGUUU
This 579-nucleotide long non-coding RNA is filed under the name Brachypodium distachyon (stiff brome). RNAcentral's name for it is "long non-coding RNA (BDIS_LNC002883)". Lineage: Eukaryota; Viridiplantae; Streptophyta; Magnoliopsida; Poales; Poaceae. The record is from RNAcentral.